This 497-nucleotide ribosomal RNA is filed under the name uncultured bacterium. RNAcentral's name for it is "partial 16S ribosomal RNA". It matches the Rfam family "Bacterial small subunit ribosomal RNA", at positions 28 to 507 of the family's 1533-position model. The record is from RNAcentral.
GAUGAACGCUGGCGGCGUGCCUAAUACAUGCAAGUCGAGCGAACGGACGAGAAGCUUGCUUCUCUGAUGUUAGCGGCGGACGGGUGAGUAACACGUGGAUAACCUACCUAUAAGACUGGGAUAACUUCGGGAAACCGGAGCUAAUACCGGAUAAUAUUUUGAACCGCAUGGUUCAAAAGUGAAAGACGGUCUUGCUGUCACUUAUAGAUGGAUCCGCGCUGCAUUAGCUAGUUGGUAAGGUAACGGCUUACCAAGGCAACGAUGCAUAGCCGACCUGAGAGGGGGAUCGGCAACAGUGGAACGGAGACCGGGUCAAGACCCCUACGGGAGGAAGCAGUAGGGAAUUUUCCGCAAUGGGCGAAGGCCGGACGGAGCAACGCCGCGGGAGUGAUGAAGGUCUGCGGAUCGUAAAACUCUGUUAUUGGGGAAGAACAUAUGUGUAAGUAACUAGGCACGUCUGGACGGUACAUAAUAAGAAAGCCACGGCUAACUACGUC